GCCGGGCGCGGUGGCACGUGCCUGUAGUCUCAGCUACUCGGGAGGCUGAGGCUGGAGGAUCGCUUGAGUCCAGGAGUUCUGGGCUGUAGUGCGCUAUGCCGAUCGGGUGUCCGCACUAAGUUCGGCAUCAAUAUGGUGACCUCCCGGGAGCAGGGGACCACCAGGUUGCCUAAGGAGGGGUGAACCGGCCCAGGUCGGAAACGGAGCAGGUCAAAACUCCCGUGCUGAUCAAAUAAUAGCUAACUUUCAGUAAACAUUUACUAUGUGCUAGCUACUAGUCUAGUUGACUUAU
This is an unclassified non-coding RNA of Pan paniscus (pygmy chimpanzee), 292 nucleotides long. It matches the Rfam family "Metazoan signal recognition particle RNA". From Rfam's summary of the family: The signal recognition particle (SRP) is a universally conserved ribonucleoprotein. It is involved in the co-translational targeting of proteins to membranes. The record is from Ensembl. NCBI's taxonomy places the organism in Eukaryota, Metazoa, Chordata, Mammalia, Primates, Hominidae.